CGUGGCUGGACACAUCCGCAGAACCGUCAUAUGCUUUAGGAUGGUUCUCUUCUCCAUGGACACAUCCAUAGACUAAGCGGCUAAAUCUGACUUGU
Long non-coding RNA from Drosophila miranda, 95 nucleotides. RefSeq lists it as uncharacterized. The record is from RefSeq and is a predicted model, not a curated record. The transcript is spliced from 2 exons. NCBI's taxonomy places the organism in Eukaryota, Metazoa, Arthropoda, Insecta, Diptera, Drosophilidae.